UCUUUGGUUAUCUAGCUGUAUGAGUGCAAUUGACAUCAUAAAGCUAGGUUACCAAAGUUA
RNAcentral lists this microRNA precursor (60 nucleotides) under Limulus polyphemus (Atlantic horseshoe crab). RNAcentral's name for it is "Lpo-Mir-9-P23_pre stem-loop". It matches the Rfam family "mir-9/mir-79 microRNA precursor family", at positions 2 to 62 of the family's 78-position model. From Rfam's summary of the family: The mature ~21nt miRNAs are processed from hairpin precursor sequences represented here. miR-9 is processed from the 5' arm of its precursor, and miR-79 from the 3' arm. The bounds of the precursors are predicted based on conservation and base pairing and are not generally known. Lineage: Eukaryota; Metazoa; Arthropoda; Merostomata; Xiphosura; Limulidae. The record is from RNAcentral.